RNAcentral lists this unclassified non-coding RNA (1903 nucleotides) under Hevea brasiliensis (rubber tree). Lineage: Eukaryota; Viridiplantae; Streptophyta; Magnoliopsida; Malpighiales; Euphorbiaceae. The record is from RNAcentral.
AAAAAAAAAAAAAAGGAAGAGGGAUGGGUGUUUGGUGGGGAGGGGGUUGAUUAGGAGGGGGGCAGCAAAUUUUGAAGUCCAAAGUCUUGAAUUGCCAGCUGUAGUGCAAUAAUGAUGUUAUUUUAAAUUUAGCCCGUCUAUUAUUUUGUACAAAUUGGUUGAACUUUCACAAUUAUUUGGGGGAUUUCUUAUCGAAGAAAUUGAGAAAAAUGUAAAGAUGCUGAAGUUGCCAAAAUACUGGAGAAGUUUCCAUAAUUGGUUUCCCAACAGCUUACUCUGUCACUCUUUAUCUCUUUUUCUCUUCCUCUGCAUCAUCCUCUUCUUUUAUGGAUCUAACUUCAUUUUAGGUUUGCUUACUUUUGACUUAUUCCCAUUUAAUUAUGAAUUCAGUUAUGAGCUCAAACUUGGAAUUACAGCUUUAUUAGUAUUUUUCUUUUUGGUGCAUUCACAAGGCAAAAGGUGCCUGUGUGCUUUAUAGUUACUCAAAAAUUAACUUGUUCAUGAUACUUGUAGGACUUCCUGGGAUGGGAAAAUAACCAAAAUUUUCUUUUUUACACCUGCCUAAUAUGUAAAAUAACAGAACAUGAAACUUCAGAGCUGCUCUUGGAAAACCCUGGGAUACUUUAUAAGGACUAUUUCUACGUAAUUAAUAUGUUAAUAUGAAAAUUUAUUUAAUUUUUGUUGUGUUCCUGUGUUUUUAUUAUGCUUUUCACUUUUAUAAAAAAAAAAUUAUGUAUCUAAAGCCCUUUUUGUAAAUUCAGUUAUUAAAAUUUAUUGCAGUUUCCCUUAUUCUCUUUGUUUCGAUUUCCUCUGAGUUAAUGUAGCAUGUUUUGAUUGCUAAUUGAUGUGAAACAUGGUCCAAAUUUGACUUAACUCUGAUGUUCUUUUAAGUAUAUUUAGGCAAGUUUCUACCCCUUUUUGGCUGUUUAUUAUGUCUGCUUCUGUUACCUAUAUUGGCAUCAUUAUUUCUCACUAUGUUAAGUAAUGUGAUUCUAAAAUGGUAGAUGGAGUUGAAGCUACAUUUAAAAAAAAAAAUGUAUGGAUGAGCUGCAUGAUAGGGUAGUUCUCUCAUCUUUCUUAAACCCAUUGCUAGAGCAAACAGGAUUGAGUCUUAGAUCUCAUGAACGACUCUGAAAUAAUAAAGGGGGUGUUGACGAGCAAAUAAGAAAAUACAAGAUUACUGAGGUUCUCAUGUGCUGCAACAAGUAGAGAAGUGGUUGAUCAUAUUUAGAGAGGGAUGACACCAUUUAGUCUGAUCAUUUUUUAGUACGAGGACCAAACCUAGUUUGGGUGAAGACUUGCUGUAAUAUUUUCAAUAGUUUGACCUCAAGACUCCUGCACAUCUUAGCUCUGUUUAUUUCUCAAAUCACAUUUUCCUAGCGAGAACUUCUAAAUUUCUUAGUGCAUGGAUGCCUGGUAUGGACAUUAUUCAUUGAUUCUUUCAUCUUGAUUUGCCAUGUUUUAGCUCACUUGGUGAUUAUAAAUGUUGGUGCAAAAUUUAUCAAUGGAGGCUAUAAUAUUUGGUCUGUACUGUUGGCCAUUUGGGAAGUCUUAUUUAGUUGCUUUUCUUAGAAGAAAAAAAAAAUGUUAAAUUGUGUUGAACACCAGUAUUUUCAACCUUUUAGCUGUAACUUCGAAUGUAAGAAAACUAAUAUGGUUCCUCUGAAAGUGAACAGAUGAGUCAUAGUGUCUGAUUAUGAUUGAAAGAAGACAUCAUUUUUCAUUUACUCUUUGCAUAUGUAACAUUAAAACGGGUAAAAAAGUUUGGCACCAAAAAAAGGUAAGAGAUCAUAAGACCAUGAUAUGUCAUGCUUUAGUUGGUGCAAAAAUUCGUGCUUAGUUUUACUUGGGACGGAUUGGUUCUUGGUAGUAAUUUGAGCAAGUUCUCUCUUUCUAGUUCUGA